Seriola aureovittata is the source of this 666-nucleotide long non-coding RNA. RefSeq lists it as uncharacterized. The transcript has 3 exons. The record is from RefSeq and is a predicted model, not a curated record. Lineage: Eukaryota; Metazoa; Chordata; Actinopteri; Carangiformes; Carangidae.
AGCGUGAUGACUGAACUGCAUCACAAGAUGUCGCAGUUUACACAGUAAAGAAUCCGAGCUCAGCAGUUCAUGAAAGGCUAGAGAGAAAGGGAUACUGUUCUCCAUAUCAAAACUACCCAACUACCCCUGCAAGUGAGGUCCUGUAUUGAAUCUACAGCAACAAAGACCCUCAUUCUGCUUGACACUGGAGAUGUUGUCCUGGCUAGAGUGAGGUCUGUGUCCUGGGACAGAGCAGUGCCAGCCAGCAAGAGAUGAUCCAUGCAUGUUGGCAUAGUCUAGGAGCUGUUGCGAGCGCAGAUGAAAUGCAGCGGUGACCAGGCUGAAUCACAGCAGAACCUUGGGCCAAGCCGCCGCCGCCGCUCAGUCAGCGCUGGAUGUGCGAAACAGGUGUGACGCGUUUAAUGAGGACUAUCCCAGUGAAAAUUCAGGUUUUUGUAUCUCCAUCUUCUGAGGAAAUUUCUUCAGCUGGUCUUCUGCUCAUCCUUCAUCUUUACUAACAUUAAGUCUAUCCUUCACAUUUCCCAUAAAACUGUACAAUACUCCCUCACGGCUUAUUAACUGAAUAGCUCUCUUUAUCAAUCUUUUGCAAUCUGAUCUACUUGGACUGCUGUUCUCUCUCUCUCUCUCUCUCUCUCUCUCUCACUCUCUCUCUCUCUGUGUUUCUCA